This 491-nucleotide ribosomal RNA is filed under the name Klebsiella pneumoniae. RNAcentral describes it as "partial 23S ribosomal RNA". It matches the Rfam family "Bacterial large subunit ribosomal RNA", at positions 781 to 1269 of the family's 2925-position model. The record is from RNAcentral. Lineage: Bacteria; Pseudomonadati; Pseudomonadota; Gammaproteobacteria; Enterobacterales; Enterobacteriaceae.
GACUAAUGUUGAAAAAUUAGCGGAUGACUUGUGGCUGGGGGUGAAAGGCCAAUCAAACCGGGAGAUAGCUGGUUCUCCCCGAAAGCUAUUUAGGUAGCGCCUCGUGAAUUCAUCUUCGGGGGUAGAGCACUGUUUCGGCUAGGGGGUCAUCCCGACUUACCAACCCGAUGCAAACUACGAAUACCGAAGAAUGUUAUCACGGGAGACACACGGCGGGUGCUAACGUCCGUCGUGAAGAGGGAAACAACCCAGACCGCCAGCUAAGGUCCCAAAGUCAUGGUUAAGUGGGAAACGAUGUGGGAAGGCACAGACAGCCAGGAUGUUGGCUUAGAAGCAGCCAUCAUUUAAAGAAAGCGUAAUAGCUCACUGGUCGAGUCGGCCUGCGCGGAAGAUGUAACGGGGCUAAACCAUGCACCGAAGCUGCGGCAGCGACACUAUGUGUUGUUGGGUAGGGGAGCGUUCUGUAAGCCUGCGAAGGUGUGCUGUGAGGC